Molecule: ribosomal RNA, 575 nt
Filed under: uncultured fungus
Lineage: Eukaryota; Fungi
Description: eukaryotic LSU rRNA
Rfam family: Eukaryotic large subunit ribosomal RNA
Source: RNAcentral
AGCAUAUCAAUAAGCGGAGGAAAAGAAACCAACAGGGAUUACCUUAGUAACGGCGAGUGAAGCGGUAACAGCUCAAAUUUGAAAGCUGGCUCUUUUAGGGUCCGCGUUGUAAUUUGUAGAAGAUGCUUCGGGUGUGGCCCCGGUCUAAGUUCCUUGGAACAGGACGUCAUAGAGGGUGAGAAUCCCGUAUGUGACUGGGUGCUUUCGCUCAUGUGAAGCUCUUUCGACGAGUCGAGUUGUUUGGGAAUGCAGCUCAAAAUGGGUGGUAAAUUUCAUCUAAAGCUAAAUAUUGGCCAGAGACCGAUAGCGCACAAGUAGAGUGAUCGAAAGAUGAAAAGCACUUUGGAAAGAGAGUUAAACAGUACGUGAAAUUGUUGAAAGGGAAGCGCUUGCAACCAGACUUGCGCGCUGAUGAUCAUCCGGGCUUCUGCCCGGUGCACUCGUCUGCGCUCAGGCCAGCAUCGGUUUCGGUGGUGGGAUAAAGGCCUUGGGAAUGUAGCUCCUCUCGGGGAGUGUUAUAGCCCUCGGUGCAAUGCCGCCUACCGGGACCGAGGACCGCGCUUCGGCUAGGAUGC